AAUCUAUGCAGUUUAUGCGCAUUUCAGAAUGCAAUCCAAGUAUUAUAUUUUUGGAAAAUAAGUUCUACGAUUGAACGUCGAGCAAAUUUCAACUAUAAAAAUCAAUGGACACGUAAUGGCAGACGAUUGGUUGUUGCAAAACCAUGAUGUGAGAGCAGCUUUAAUCCACGCGACUACCAUGUGUUGAGAGAAA
Molecule: long non-coding RNA, 193 nt
Organism: Monomorium pharaonis (pharaoh ant)
Lineage: Eukaryota; Metazoa; Arthropoda; Insecta; Hymenoptera; Formicidae
Exons: 2
Source: RefSeq, a predicted model, not a curated record